GCACCGGCUGGCUCGGUUGCAUCAACGGCGUUUCGGCGGCGCCCCGGUGGCGGUGUCCAGUCCGCAGGGCAGGUUCGAAGCCGGUGCCGCCGCG
RNAcentral lists this transfer RNA (94 nucleotides) under Mycobacterium novum. RNAcentral's name for it is "tRNA-Pro". The record is from RNAcentral. Lineage: Bacteria; Bacillati; Actinomycetota; Actinomycetes; Mycobacteriales; Mycobacteriaceae.